Molecule: ribosomal RNA, 511 nt
Filed under: uncultured bacterium
Lineage: Bacteria
Description: bacterial SSU rRNA
Rfam family: Bacterial small subunit ribosomal RNA
Source: RNAcentral
AGUUUGAUCAUGGCUCAGAUUGAACGCUGGCGGAAUGUCUUUACACAUGCAAGUCGAGCGGCAGCGGCGGGGGCAACCCUGGCGGCGAGCGGCGAACGGGUGAGUAACACAUCGGAACGUACCCAGUGGGUGGGGGAUACGGCCCGGACGAAAGCCGGAUUAAUACCGCAUACGACCUGGAGGGGGAAAGUGGGGGACCGCAAGGCCUCACGCCGUUGGAGCGGCCGAUGUUCGAUUAGCUAGUUGGUAGGGUAAAGGCCUACCAAGGCGACGAUCGAUAGCUGGUCUGAGAGGACGACCAGCCACACUGGAACUGAGACACGGUCCAGACUCCUACGGGAGGCAGCAGGUGGGGUAAUUUUGGACAAUGGGGGCAACCCUGAUCCAGCCAUUCCGCGUGAGUGAAGAAGGCCUUCGGGUUGUAAAGCUCUUUCGGCCGGGAAGAAAUCGCACAGGUUAAUACCCUGUGUGGAUGACGGUACCGGAAUAAGAAGCACCGGCUAACUACGUG